RNAcentral lists this transfer RNA (74 nucleotides) under Promethearchaeota archaeon. RNAcentral describes it as "Candidatus Lokiarchaeota archaeon tRNA-Lys". It matches the Rfam family "tRNA". Rfam says of the family: Transfer RNA (tRNA) molecules are approximately 80 nucleotides in length. Their secondary structure includes four short double-helical elements and three loops (D, anti-codon, and T loops). The record is from RNAcentral. Lineage: Archaea; Promethearchaeati; Promethearchaeota.
GGGCUAUUAGCGCAGUCAGGUAGCGCAACAGGCUCUUAACCUGCAGGUCGUGGGUUCGACUCCCACAUAGCCCG